Molecule: non-coding RNA, 21 nt
Filed under: Arabidopsis thaliana (thale cress)
Lineage: Eukaryota; Viridiplantae; Streptophyta; Magnoliopsida; Brassicales; Brassicaceae
Source: RNAcentral
UUUAAUUUUACGAGACGUGGU